UACGUAGGAGGCAAGCGUUAUCCGGAAUGACUGGGCGUAAAGGGUGCGUAGGUGGUUUGGCAAGUUAGUAGCGUAACUCCGGAGCUCAACUUCGGAACUACUACUAAAACUGUCGGACUUGAGUGCAGGAGGGGCAACUGGAAUUUCUAGUGUAGCGGUGGAAUGCGUAGAUAUUAGGAAGAACACCGGUGGCGAAGGCGAGUUGCUGGACUGUAACUGACACUGAGGCACGAAAGCGUGGGGAGCAA
This 248-nucleotide ribosomal RNA is filed under the name uncultured Eubacteriales bacterium. RNAcentral describes it as "uncultured Clostridiales bacterium partial 16S ribosomal RNA". It matches the Rfam family "Bacterial small subunit ribosomal RNA", at positions 524 to 771 of the family's 1533-position model. The record is from RNAcentral. Lineage: Bacteria; Bacillati; Bacillota; Clostridia; Eubacteriales.